CAGUAGCCGCAGUAAUACGUAGGUGGCAAGCGUUGUCCGGAAUUAUUGGGCGUAAAGGGCUCGCAGGCGGUUUCUUAAGUCUGAUGUGAAAGCCCCCGGCUCAACCGGGGAGGGUCAUUGGAAACUGGGAGACUUGAGUGCAGAAGAGGAGAGUGGAAUUCCACGUGUAGCGGUGAAAUGCGUAGAGAUGUGGAGGAACACCAGUGGCGAAGGCGACUCUCUGGUCUGUAACUGACGCUGAGGAGCGAAAGCGUGGGGAGCGAACAGGAUUAGAUACCCCCGUAGUCCCUGUCUCUUAUAC
RNAcentral lists this ribosomal RNA (301 nucleotides) under uncultured bacterium. RNAcentral's name for it is "partial 16S ribosomal RNA". It matches the Rfam family "Bacterial small subunit ribosomal RNA", at positions 509 to 807 of the family's 1533-position model. The record is from RNAcentral.